This is a long non-coding RNA of Antechinus flavipes (yellow-footed antechinus), 280 nucleotides long. RefSeq lists it as uncharacterized. The record is from RefSeq and is a predicted model, not a curated record. NCBI's taxonomy places the organism in Eukaryota, Metazoa, Chordata, Mammalia, Dasyuromorphia, Dasyuridae. The transcript is spliced from 3 exons.
GGGGACGCGGGGAGGUGGGCCAUAGGUGCUGCCCUUCCUGUCUUCCCGUUGCUUGGCCUCUGCGCGGGGCUCCAUGAACCCCUGUGCAGGAUCAGAUGAUGGUGACUGGAUGUGACAGGCUGCCCUAUUCCUUUGGCAGCCACUAUGGAAAUAAACCCUCAAGAAGGAAUUUUUUCCCACAAGAUCAUUUUCAGAAAGGGAAGAAUUUGACAGCAUGAAGACGUUGGAAUUGGUUCUGUGGGAGGACAAAAGUACCAGGGAAAGCAGAAGUAAAGUUGAG